This 406-nucleotide ribosomal RNA is filed under the name uncultured bacterium. Its description in RNAcentral is "partial 16S ribosomal RNA". It matches the Rfam family "Bacterial small subunit ribosomal RNA", at positions 30 to 526 of the family's 1533-position model. The record is from RNAcentral.
AUUGAACGCUGGCGGCAGGCCUAACACAUGCAAGUCGAGCGGAGCGGCGGACGGGUGAGUAAUGCCUAGGAAUCUGCCUGGUCGUGGGGUUAACGUCCGGUAACUGGCGCUAAUACCGCAUACUAUCAGAUGAGCCUAGGUCGGAUUAGCUAGUUGGUGGGGUAAAGGCCUACCAAGGCGACGAUCCGUAACUGGUCUGAGAGGAUGAUCAGUAACACUGGAACUGAGAGACGGACCAGACUCCUACGGGAGGGAGCAGUGGGGAAUAUUGGACAAUGGGCGAAAGCCUGAUGCAGACAUGACGCGUGUGUGAAGAAGGUAGUCGGAGUGUAAAGCACGUUAAGUUGGGAGGCGUUACGAAAAGAAUAAGCACCGGCUAACUUCGUGCCAGCAGCCGCGGUAAUUC